GAUGAACGCUGGCGGCGUGCUUAACACAUGCAAGUCGAACGGAAAGGCCCAAGCUUGCUUGGGUACUCGAGUGGCGAACGGGUGAGUAACACGUGGGUGAUCUGCCCUGCACUUCGGGAUAAGCCUGGGAAACUGGGUCUAAUACCGGAUAGGACCACAUUUUGGAUGGUGUGGUGGAAAGUUUUUCGGUGUGGGAUGAGCUCGCGGCCUAUCAGCUUGUUGGUGGGGUAAUGGCCUACCAAGGCGUCGACGGGUAGCCGGCCUGAGAGGGUGUACGGCCACAUUGGGACUGAGAUACGGCCCAGACGCCUACGGGAGGCAGCAGUGGGGAAGAUUGCACAAUGGGCGCAAGCCUGAUGCAGCGACGCCGCGUGGGGGAUGACGGCCUUCGGGUUGUAAACUCCUUUCGCUAGGGACGAAGCGUUAUGUGACGGUACCUGGAGAAGAAGCACCGGCUAACUACGUG
Molecule: ribosomal RNA, 466 nt
Filed under: uncultured bacterium
Lineage: Bacteria
Description: partial 16S ribosomal RNA
Rfam family: Bacterial small subunit ribosomal RNA
Source: RNAcentral